UUUAUCAUUACGAUAGGUGUUAAGUGGAAGUGCAGUGAUGUAUGCAGCUGAGGCAUCCUAACAGACCGUUAGACUUGAAC
RNAcentral lists this ribosomal RNA (80 nucleotides) under Pelargonium spinosum. RNAcentral's name for it is "4.5S ribosomal RNA". Lineage: Eukaryota; Viridiplantae; Streptophyta; Magnoliopsida; Geraniales; Geraniaceae. The record is from RNAcentral. RNAcentral also lists the same sequence under 2 other names.